AUGAUUCCUAUUUCGGAGUACAAUGUUGAUGAUCAAGAUGAAGUUCGGAGACGGUACAUUGCAAAGAAUGCAGUCCAACCAUAUGCACACAACUUUGAAGUCAAGAAAAUGUAUGGUAAAAAUCGACACUUCAACUUUGUUUGGUUUAAGAACUAUAAAUGGCUAGAAUAUAGUGUCAAAUAUGAGACUGCAUUUUCCUGUGUUAUUUUUUCAAAGGCAAAUCGAAUGGGGGGCGGUGAUGCCUUUGUCAAAGGUGGUUGGAAAAAUUGGUAUAGGCCUGAUGCAUUAGACAAACAUGUGGGUGGUAUUAACAGCAUUCACAACAAAGCUCAAGAGAAGUACAAUUUAUUUGUGGCACCCCAACCAUCAAUUGAUAACAUUAUGGUGAGGGUGUCUAAAGAGGAUUUACGUAUGUACAAGGCUAGGCUGACUUAUUCACUUAGAUGCUUGAGGUUUCUUUUGAACUAAGGAUUGGCAUUUCGUGGACAUGAUGAGAGUGAAGAAUCUAGCAAUAGGGGGAACUUUCUUGAACUUCUUAAAUGGCUUUCGGAAAAUGACGAAGAAGUUAAUAAACAUGUAUUGAACAAUGCUCCUGGGAAUUGCAUCUUGACUAGUCCAAAGAUACAAAAUCAAAUAAUUGAAUGUUGUGUGGCACAAACAAAUAAAAGAAUUAUUGAAGAUAUUGGUGAUGACCACUAUGCAAUCCUAGACGAUGAGUCUAGUGAUGCAUCUCAUAAAGAGCAACUUGCUCUCUGCAUAUGAUUUGUUGACAAAUCGGGAAGAGGAUGUGAGAGGUUCCUUGGAGUUGUUCAUGUUGCCAAUACAACUUCAUUGUCAUUUAAGGAUGCAAUUCAAACUUUUCUUAAAGAUCAUCAUUUGACUCCUAUUCAAAUACGUGGGCAAGGAUAUGAUGGGGCUAACAACAUGAAAGGGGAGAUUAAAGGGUUGAAAACAUUGAUCAUGAAAGAGUCACCCUCUGCCUAUUACAUCCAUUGUUUUGCACAUCAACUUCAGUUGGUUCUUAUAGCUGUGGCAAAGGACAAUGAACCACGUUUUUGGUUCUUUGAUCAUGUUUCUUACUUGCUCAAUAUUGUUGGAGUUUCUUGUAAGUGCCAUGACAUGCUUCGAGAUGUUAGAGCUCAGAAGGUGUUGGAAGCACUUGAAAUGGGUGAGAUUGAAAGUGGAAGUGGGCUAAAUCAAGAGAUGUGACUAGCUAGACCCGACGACACUUGUUGGGGUUCUCAUUUUAAAACCAUUAUGCACAUUGUUAGCAUGUAUUACACAAUCCUUGAAGUACUUGAUGCUAUUGGAAAUGAUCUUUCACAAAAAAGUGAGUGGACAAGAAUACGUGGAGUUGCUCAAGCCUUUGAAUCAUUUGACUUUGUUUUCAAUCUUCACUUGAUGCUUGUUAUUCUUGGCUAUACAAACGAGUUGUCCAAAUCUUUGCAAAAGAGAGAUCAACAUAUUGUCAAUACAAUGACACUUGUUAGUUUGGCAAAGAGUAUAAUGCAACACAUGAGGUCUCAUGGUUGGGAAGAAUUUCUUGUAAAGCUAACCUUAUUUUGCAACAAACAUGACAUUGAAGUUCCUUUGUGGGAGGAUAUUUAUGAGCCUAAUCGAAGAUCACAUCGGUAUUAUGAAGUACAAACAAAUGAUGAUCGUUAUAGAAGAGAAGUAUAUCUUGGUGUCAUUGAUCAAACCAUUCAAGAGCUUGACAAUUGGUUUGAUGAGGUUAAUACGGAGUUGCUUAUUUGCAUGUCAGCUUUGAAUCCCCUCAAUUCAUUUGCUUCUUAUGAUGCACUCAAGGUAAUGAGACUUGCUGAAUUCUAUCCCAUGGACAUUUCAAGCACAUAUUUGAUAAGGCUAGAAUUUCAACUUACUAAUUUUAUUGAUGAUACGAGACAAGAUGAUAGGUUUAGAAAUGCAAGUAAUAUUGGUGAGCUCUCUAUUAUGCUUGUUGCAACAAAGAAGCAUGUUAUUUAUGAUUUGGUCUACUUACUCAUCAAAUUGAUAUUGAUUUUACCGGUGGCGACGACGAGUGUUGAAAGAGUAUUUUCAGCAAUGAAUCUAGUGAAAAAUAAGUUGAGGACUACUAUGAGUGAUGAUCACUUGAAUGAUUGCUUGGUGACAUUUAUUGAACGGGAUGUGUUCAUGGAAGUAAGCAAAGAUGACAUAGUUGAUGCUUUCAUGGCAAUGCAAAAACAUAGAGUUACCUACUUUUCCAAACACUUUUGCCCUUGUUUUGGACUCUAA
Molecule: ribosomal RNA, 2253 nt
Filed under: Triticum aestivum (bread wheat)
Lineage: Eukaryota; Viridiplantae; Streptophyta; Magnoliopsida; Poales; Poaceae
Description: partial small subunit ribosomal RNA
Source: RNAcentral